UACAGAGGUGCGAGCGUUGUCCGGAAUCACUGGGCGUAAAGGGCGCGUAGGUGGCGCCCCAAGUCCGUGGUGAAAGCUCGAUGCUCAACAUCGAGUCGGCCACGGAAACUGGGGGCUCGAGCACUGUAGAGGCAGAGUGGAAUUCCGGGUGUAGCGGUGGAAUGCGUAGAGAUCCGGAAGAACACCGGUGGCGAAGGCGGUCUGCUGGG
RNAcentral lists this ribosomal RNA (209 nucleotides) under uncultured bacterium. RNAcentral describes it as "partial 16S ribosomal RNA". It matches the Rfam family "Bacterial small subunit ribosomal RNA", at positions 524 to 733 of the family's 1533-position model. The record is from RNAcentral.